CCUACGGGCGGCAGCAGUGAGGAAUCUUGGUCAAUGGACGAAAGUCUGAACCAGCCACGCCGCGUGAAGGAAGACUGCCCUCUGGGUUGUAAACUUCUUUUAUAUGGGAGUAAAAUGUUCCACGUGUGUGAUUUUGUAUGUACCAUAUGAAUAAGGAUCGGCUAACUACGUGCCAGCAGCCGCGGUAAUACGGAGGAUCCGAGCGUUAUCCGGAUUUAUUGGGUUUAAAGGGAGCGUAGGUGGAUUGUUAAGUCAGUUGUGAAAGUUUGCGGCUCAACCGUACAAGUGCAGUUGAAACUGGCAGUCUUGAGUACAGUAGAGGUGGGCGGAAUUCGUGGUGUAGCGGUGAAAUGCUUAGAUAUCACGAAGAACUCCGAUUGCGAAGGCAGCUCACUGGACUGCAACUGACGCUGAGGCUCGAAAGUGUGGGUAGCAAACAGGAUUAGAUACCCGAGUAGUC
Molecule: ribosomal RNA, 460 nt
Filed under: uncultured bacterium
Lineage: Bacteria
Description: partial 16S ribosomal RNA
Rfam family: Bacterial small subunit ribosomal RNA
Source: RNAcentral